This 72-nucleotide transfer RNA is filed under the name Candidatus Woesearchaeota archaeon. RNAcentral's name for it is "tRNA-Thr". It matches the Rfam family "tRNA". From Rfam's summary of the family: Transfer RNA (tRNA) molecules are approximately 80 nucleotides in length. Their secondary structure includes four short double-helical elements and three loops (D, anti-codon, and T loops). The record is from RNAcentral. Lineage: Archaea; Nanobdellati; Candidatus Woesearchaeota.
GCUUCUGUAGCUCAGUGGUAGAGCGGCUGCCUUGUAAGCAGCAGGUCGGGGGUUCAAAUCCCUCCAGGAGCU